GCUACGGUGGCCGAAAAAAUGCUGCGGAUGUGUUAGCAACGGGUCAAGGAGCGGUCCUGAGUGGUGCGGGGAGCACCGUGUUUCUAAUCUAGCUCCACGAGGCUCGAGGAGGGAGCCCCGGCAGCCGUCACCAUGGUGAAGGAGCAGUUCCGGGAGACGGAUGUGGCCAAGAAAAUAAGCCACAUCUGUUUUGGAAUGAAGUCAGCCGAGGAGAUGCGCCAGCAGGCGCACAUCCAGGUUGUGAGUAAGAACCUGUACAGCCAGGACAACAACCAUGCCCCACUGCUGUACGGGGUGCUUGACCACAGGAUGGGUACGAGUGAGAAGGACCGUCCUUGUGAAACCUGUGGGAAGAACUUGGCUGACUGUCUUGGCCACUAUGGGUACAUUGACUUGGAAUUGCCAUGUUUUCAUGUGGGGUACUUCCGAGCAGUUAUAGGCAUCUUACAGAUGGUCUGUAAGAGCUGCUGCCACAUCAUGCUGUCCCAGGAGGAGAAGCAGCAGUUUCUGGAUUAUCUAAAGAGGCCUGGCCUGACCUACCUGCAGAAGCGAGGGCUGAAGAAGAAAAUCUCCGAUAAGUGCCGGAAGAAGAGCACAUGCCAUCACUGUGGCGCCUUCAAUGGUACUGUAAAGAAAUGCGGGUUGCUGAAGAUAAUCCACGAGAAAUACAAGACCAACAAGAAAGUGGUGGAUCCUAUCGUGUCAAAUUUCCUUCAGUCCUUUGAAACCGCCAUCGAGCAUAACAAAGAAGUAGAGCCUCUGCUGGGAAGGGCACAGGAAAACUUGAAUCCCUUAGUAGUUCUGAAUUUAUUUAAACGAAUCCCAGCUGAAGAUGUCCCUCUACUUCUGAUGAAUCCAGAAGCUGGAAAGCCCUCCGAUUUGAUUCUCACGCGACUUUUAGUGCCCCCUUUGUGUAUCAGACCCUCUGUCGUGAGUGAUUUGAAGUCUGGCACCAAUGAAGAUGAUCUGACGAUGAAAUUGACAGAAAUCAUUUUCCUAAAUGAUGUCAUUAAAAAGCAUCGGAUAUCAGGAGCUAAGACCCAGAUGAUCAUGGAAGACUGGGAUUUCCUGCAGCUGCAGUGUGCCCUCUACAUUAACAGCGAGCUCUCAGGCAUUCCCCUCAACAUGGCGCCCAAGAAAUGGACCAGAGGGUUCGUCCAGCGUCUGAAGGGAAAACAGGGUCGAUUUAGAGGCAAUCUCUCAGGAAAGAGAGUGGAUUUUUCUGGCAGAACAGUCAUCUCACCUGACCCCAAUCUCCGAAUUGAUGAGGUAGCUGUGCCAGUUCAUGUGGCCAAAAUUCUAACUUUUCCUGAGAAGGUGAACAAAGCAAACAUCAACUUUUUGAGGAAACUGGUUCGAAAUGGCCCUGAAGUUCACCCUGGAGCCAAUUUCAUUCAGCAGAGACACACGCAGAUGAAAAGGUUUCUGAAAUACGGAAACAGAGAAAAGAUGGCUCAGGAACUCAAGUACGGGGACAUUGUGGAGAGACACCUCAUAGACGGAGACGUGGUCCUGUUCAACCGGCAGCCCUCGCUGCACAAAUUGAGCAUUAUGGCCCACCUGGCCAGGGUCAAGCCCCACCGGACCUUCAGAUUUAAUGAGUGUGUCUGUACACCCUACAAUGCAGAUUUUGAUGGUGAUGAAAUGAACCUUCAUCUUCCUCAAACAGAAGAAGCUAAAGCAGAAGCCCUUGUUCUCAUGGGGACUAAAGCAAAUCUUGUAACCCCAAGGAACGGAGAACCACUAAUUGCUGCUAUUCAGGAUUUUCUGACAGGUGCCUAUCUCCUGACUCUUAAGGACACUUUCUUUGACCGAGCCAAGGCGUGCCAGAUCGUCGCUUCGAUAUUGGUGGGCAAGGAUGAGAAAAUUAAAGUUCGCCUCCCACCCCCUACGAUACUAAAGCCUGUCACCCUGUGGACGGGAAAGCAGAUCUUCAGUGUCAUCCUCAGACCCAGCGAUGACAAUCCAGUGAGGGCCAACCUCCGAACCAAGGGCAAGCAGUACUGUGGCAAAGGAGAAGACCUCUGUGUCAAUGAUUCCUAUGUCACAAUCCAGAACAGCGAGCUGAUGUCUGGAAGCAUGGACAAAGGAACGCUGGGAUCAGGAUCCAAGAACAAUAUUUUUUACAUUUUGCUGCGAGACUGGGGGCAGAACGAAGCUGCCGAUGCGAUGUCACGUCUUGCCAGGCUCGCCCCUGUCUACCUGUCUAACCGCGGAUUCUCGAUUGGGAUUGGUGACGUCACACCUGGCCAAGGGCUGCUGAAGGCCAAGCAUGAGUUGCUGAAUGCUGGCUACAAAAAAUGUGAUGAGUACAUCGAAGCCCUGAACACAGGCAAGCUGCAGCAGCAGCCCGGCUGCACUGCAGAGGAGACCCUGGAGGCUUUGAUCCUGAAGGAGCUGUCCGUGAUCCGAGACCACGCAGGCAGCGCCUGCCUCCGGGAGCUGGAUAAGAGCAACAGCCCCCUCACCAUGGCUCUGUGCGGCUCUAAAGGUUCCUUCAUUAACAUAUCACAGAUGAUUGCCUGUGUGGGACAGCAAGCCAUCAGUGGCUCUCGAGUGCCAGAUGGCUUCGAAAACAGGUCCUUACCUCACUUUGAAAAACACUCAAAGCUCCCAGCUGCCAAAGGCUUUGUGGCUAAUAGCUUUUAUUCCGGUUUGACACCAACCGAGUUUUUCUUCCACACGAUGGCUGGCCGGGAAGGUCUCGUCGACACAGCAGUGAAGACAGCUGAAACAGGAUACAUGCAGAGAAGGCUCGUAAAGUCCCUUGAAGAUCUUUGCUCACAGUAUGAUUUGACAGUCCGAAGCUCUACUGGCGAUAUUAUCCAGUUCAUUUACGGGGGAGAUGGCUUAGAUCCUGCAGCCAUGGAGGGAAAAGAUGAACCCUUGGAGUUUAAAAGGGUUCUGGACAACAUCAAAGCAGUCUUCCCGUGCCAGAGCGAGCCUGCUCUCAGUAAGAACGAGCUGCUCCUGACCGCCGAGUCCAUCAUGAAGAAGAAUGAGUUUCUCUGCUGCCAGGACAGCUUCCUGCAGGAGAUAAAAAAAUUCAUUAAGGAGGUUUCUGAGAAGAUCAAGAAAACCCGAGAUAAAUAUGGCAUCAAUGAUAACGGCACAACAGAGCCCCGUGUGCUGUACCAGUUGGACCGGAUCACCCCCACCCAAAUAGAAAAGUUUCUAGAGACGUGUAGGGACAAGUACAUGAGGGCACAGAUGGAGCCAGGUUCUGCAGUGGGUGCACUUUGUGCCCAGAGCAUUGGCGAGCCAGGCACCCAGAUGACCCUGAAGACUUUCCACUUCGCAGGCGUGGCCUCCAUGAACAUCACCCUGGGCGUGCCCCGAAUCAAAGAGAUCAUCAACGCUUCCAAGGCCAUCAGCACUCCAAUCAUCACAGCCCAGCUGGACAAGGACGAUGACGCAGACUAUGCCCGCCUCGUGAAAGGGAGAAUUGAGAAAACCCUCUUGGGAGAGAUUUCAGAGUAUAUUGAAGAGGUGUUUCUUCCUGACGAUUGCUUUAUUCUCGUCAAGCUCUCACUGGAACGGAUCAGACUGCUGAGACUGGAAGUGAAUGCUGAGACGGUGAGGUAUUCCAUCUGCAUGUCCAAGCUCCGUGUGAAGCCUGGCGAUGUGGCCGUGCACGGUGAGGCUGUGGUGUGUGUCACUCCCCGAGAGAACAGCAAGAGCUCCAUGUACUACGUGCUGCAGUUUCUGAAAGAGGAUCUCCCCAAGGUGGUGGUGCAGGGCAUCCCGGAGGUGUCCCGAGCUGUCAUUCACAUCGACGAGCAGAGUGGAAAGGAGAAGUACAAGCUCCUGGUGGAGGGUGAUAACCUGCGGGCCGUCAUGGCCACCCACGGUGUGAAGGGCACCCGAACCACCUCCAACAACACGUAUGAGGUGGAGAAGACCCUGGGCAUCGAGGCUGCCCGGACGACCAUCAUCAACGAAAUCCAGUACACGAUGGUCAACCACGGCAUGAGCAUCGACCGGCGGCACGUGAUGCUGCUCUCCGACCUCAUGACCUACAAGGGUGAAGUCCUGGGCAUCACUAGGUUUGGCCUGGCCAAGAUGAAGGAGAGCGUGCUGAUGCUGGCCUCCUUUGAGAAGACAGCCGACCACCUCUUUGACGCCGCCUACUUCGGGCAGAAGGACUCCGUGUGUGAAACCACAAUAAAGGCUCUUGCACAUGUUCCCCUCAAUUCCUGCCUCCUGACUGACCUCGGUGCUUCCUGGCAUGACCCUGCAUGGUGUGCCCCCUCCUCUUGGGAACUAGGCUACUGGAGGAUGUGUUUCACCAAAAUAAAUUCGUAAACCAAGAAAAAGACUGACAAGAGGAAUCUGACUCAGGAGAGAGGUGUAAAGAAUCCCCCAGGAUGUUGGUGAAGAGAGAUUGCUAUAUAAAAACAAUACAACAGGCUUAGAGGGCACCCAGCCUAAAUCCAAACAGGUCAGGAAGCUCCAGGAGACAUGGCUUCGAGAAAAUGAAAUUGGUAGAACAUCAUCUAAAGGAUGUACAAGCUGAGGCCGGCAAACACAGGAAGCAAGGCUAAAGAGAUACAAAGAAUCCAGGAUCCUAAAAGAAAACUGUAGUUGUAGACAGGGAAGGAAAGAAUACACACAGGUAAAAGGAACAGCUGUACUUCCAGAAACAGGUAGGCCCUGGCUAAUAUUGUGACCUCUGUAGGCUCAUCCAGGAAACUGGCACACAGAAGAAUGCCUUUGAAGCUGACCUUUCAGGAGGUGGCCCUGUUCUCCAGGGCAGGUAGCAUGGGAUGGAGAUCCCUGGAACACAAAGCAGCCAUGACUCCCCUACCCUCUUCUCUGCUCCUCUCCAUCCUCUGCUCCUCCCUCCACCAGCCCCUGCUCAGGAAUCCUGCCUGGAGGUGAUGACUUUGUGCUCAGACUUGCAGAGAGCAAACUGGCUGAGGGGAUUAGGAUGCUCCUCAGAGCCAGCAGACAAACCUGGCUUUGCUUUUGCAGCCCACUCCCACCCCCCACAUCCUCUAUCCCCAGUCAUGGUCAUGUUUGCAGUAUCUAGGCAGACAGCUCAGCCGACCCACCUGUGCAGCUUCCCCAGACAUUCCACACCCAGACAGUGGUGCCGGGAGUGAAGCUGCAGAGAAAGGGAAGGUAUUAGGGGAGAAUUAAGGUGAGGAAGUGACUCAGCCCAGCAUAAGCCUGAAGGCAUCCGGAGGAGCUCGCACAAGGCAGUGAGGCUGCUUGUUUCAGCUUUCAAGUUGGCCCGGGAGUGCUGCUGAAAUGUGACUCUCUCUGCCCCACUGAGCAUGGAGGGUGGAGGGGAAAGUUGGCUGGGCUCCUGU
Molecule: RNA transcript, 5315 nt
Organism: Hippopotamus amphibius kiboko
Lineage: Eukaryota; Metazoa; Chordata; Mammalia; Artiodactyla; Hippopotamidae
Gene: POLR3A
Gene name: RNA polymerase III subunit A
Exons: 33
Source: RefSeq, a predicted model, not a curated record